GAGGAACGGUUCUCUUUCGCGCCUCCCUCCUCCUGCUGUGUGGAAAUGUUGGAAGACAAUUCGUAGUGGAGUGGAGGUGGUGACCCUCAGCCCACGUGUCUUCAAGGAGAGAUGGUUUAUUCAAUGAGGCUCAGAUCAAGGAGGAGUUCCGACACAUAACAACUCUUUCACUGGAAGAGACUUUGAUGCUGAAACUGGAUGGGUCCACUAAUGGCGCGUUUCCACUGCAGCGGGUAGCUCGCUUUAAGCGCGCCGAGCCGUGCGGGGCCCGU
Molecule: long non-coding RNA, 272 nt
Organism: Gymnodraco acuticeps
Lineage: Eukaryota; Metazoa; Chordata; Actinopteri; Perciformes; Bathydraconidae
Exons: 3
Source: RefSeq, a predicted model, not a curated record